RNAcentral lists this ribosomal RNA (261 nucleotides) under uncultured Glomeromycotina. Its description in RNAcentral is "partial large subunit ribosomal RNA". The record is from RNAcentral. Lineage: Eukaryota; Fungi; Glomeromycota.
CAGUCGUGCCUGCGGGGUAAUCAGCCUUUUGGGUGUGAUUAUGUGGGGCGUGAGGGAGUUAAUCACCCUCACCUUUGCAUAUUCGUGCACUUUUGGGUGUACUUGCCCGUGUGGUAGGUUAACAUCAAUUUUGAUCAUCAUAAAAUGAUUGGAGGAAUGUAGCUUCGAUCUCGUAUUGAAGUGUUAUAGCCUUUGGUAGAUGUGAUGAUCGGGAUUGAGGAUUGCAACGGAUACCCUUCGGGGCUACCCGUCUGAUCUCUG